Cygnus olor (mute swan) is the source of this 960-nucleotide long non-coding RNA. RefSeq lists it as uncharacterized. The transcript has 3 exons. The record is from RefSeq and is a predicted model, not a curated record. Lineage: Eukaryota; Metazoa; Chordata; Aves; Anseriformes; Anatidae.
UCUUCAGUUGUUAUCAAUUGAAGACAAUGAAUCAACCGGUAUUCUUUAAGAUGUUCUGAGAACAUCAUUUUCUGGCUUCAUUUCCAGGGAAGGAACCAAAAAAGCACAUAAAACCUAAAAGAGGCUGGUGAAGGCUGGUGAAGGGAAUGCUAUACUGUGGGACAUAACCGCUUUGGGGCAAGGAAGACUACAACACCAGUGAUCAAGAAAUGACAAGAGAGAAAAUGUCCACGUCCACCCACUAAAUAGAGAUAAUUUGGCUAUUUGGCCACUGGGCUGGGGAUUGGCAGGAGGCUGGAGACAGAGCACAGCCAGGACAGAGGACCUCACCUGACCAAAGGGGUACCCUGUGCCAUGGAAGGUUGUGCUCAGCUGUAACACUAGGUUAAAGUAGGAAGAAGGUGUGAUGUUCAUGGUUAUGGCAUCUGUCUUCCCAAGCAAUCAGUACGUGUGCUGCAGCCCUGCUUUCCUAGAAGUGGCUGGACAUUGCCAGAGAGUGUAGUCAUUGUGAGGAAUCUCAGUGUGGUAUGGAGAAGGAUCAAGGGUCAGACUGAGACUCUGUGCUGAAAUUGUCCACCUUUGUUGGUUUUAUGACAAUAUUACUUCAAUUUUGGAGUGAGGAACUCUGUUGAUGCAAGGGAAGUUCCUGAAGAGUUCAUGAUGAACACAUACCUUUAAAACAACCCAGUUUCACAGAUGCAAGGCAGGGCAUGUACCAGGUUUAUGUGGCAAGGCUGUGGCAGCUGGGGCAGCAUGCAGAGCUCCUCUGAGAGGAGAUGCCAGGACUGCCCCGUGCCGGACACAGCCAGCUCCAGCCGGCUCCAAUGGCCCCACCACAGGGCACAGCUGGGCCCAGCAGCCAAAAUGGUGGCACCUCAGGGAAAAUAGAUAAAAGAAGGGGGAAAAAGCUGUGAGACAUGAGGAAAACAAAGGCAAGAAAUAGCCUUGCUAACCCCCAGA